Molecule: ribosomal RNA, 400 nt
Filed under: uncultured bacterium
Lineage: Bacteria
Description: bacterial SSU rRNA
Rfam family: Bacterial small subunit ribosomal RNA
Source: RNAcentral
GGGGGAUAUUGCACAAUGGAGGAAACUCUGAUGCAGCAACGCCGCGUGAGGGAAGACGGUUUUCGGAUUGUAAACCUCUGUCCUCAGGGACGAUAAUGACGGUACCUGAGGAGGAAGCUCCGGCUAACUACGUGCCAGCAGCCGCGGUAAUACGUAGGAAGCAAGCGUUGUCCGGAUUUACUGGGUGUAAAGGGUGCGUAGGCGGCCCUGCAAGUCAGGCGUGGAAGGCGGAGGCUUAACCUCCGAGCUGCGUUUGAAACUGUGGGGCUUGAGUGAAGUAGAGGUAGGCGGAAUUCCCGGUGUAGCGGUGAAAUGCGUAGAGAUCGGGAGGAACACCAGUGGCGAAGGCGGCCUACUGGGCUUUAACUGACGCUGAAGCACGAAAGCAUGGGGAGCAAAC